RNAcentral lists this ribosomal RNA (342 nucleotides) under uncultured bacterium. RNAcentral's name for it is "bacterial SSU rRNA". It matches the Rfam family "Bacterial small subunit ribosomal RNA", at positions 28 to 371 of the family's 1533-position model. The record is from RNAcentral.
GACGAACGCUGGCGGCGUGCUUAACACAUGCAAGUCGAGCGGUAAGGCCCUUUCGGGGGUACACGAGCGGCGAACGGGUGAGUAACACGUGGGUGACCUGCCCUCAGCUCUGGGAUAAGCCUGGGAAACCGGGUCUAAUACUGGAUAUGACUCCAUGACGCAUGUUGUGGGGUGGAAAGCCUUGUGCGGCUGAGGAUGGGCCCGCGGCCUAUCAGCUUGUUGGUGGGGUNANGGCCUACCAAGGCGACGACGGGUAGCCGGCCUGAGAGGGCGACCGGCCACACUGGGACUGAGACACGGCCCAGACUCCUACGGGAGGCAGCAGUGGGGAAUCUUGCGCAA